This 422-nucleotide ribosomal RNA is filed under the name uncultured archaeon. RNAcentral's name for it is "partial 16S ribosomal RNA". It matches the Rfam family "Archaeal small subunit ribosomal RNA", at positions 323 to 746 of the family's 1478-position model. The record is from RNAcentral.
CUACGGGUGGCACCAGGCGCGAAACCUUUACAAUGCACGAAAGUGUGAUAAGGGAACCCCAAGUGCUCAUGUAUAACAUGGGCUUUUGCCAAGUGUAAAUAGCUUGGAGAAUAAGUGGUGGGUAAGACUGGUGCCAGCAGCCGCGGUAACACCAGCGCCACGAGUGGGAAUCAGCAUUAUUUGGCCUAAAGCGUCCGUAGCUGGUUCAGCAAAUCUUUUGUGAAAUCAUGGGGCUUAACCUCAUGGCGUGCAGAGGACACUACUGAACUCGAGACCGGGAGGAGCAAGGGGUAUACCUUGGGGAGCGGUAAAAUGCUAUAAUCCAAGGUGGACCACCUGUGGCGAAGGCGCCUUGCUAGAACGGAUCUGACAGUGAGGGACGAAAGCUAGGGGAGCGAUCCGGAUUAGAUACCCCCGUAGUC